RNAcentral lists this ribosomal RNA (519 nucleotides) under uncultured Glomus. RNAcentral's name for it is "SSU rRNA". It matches the Rfam family "Eukaryotic small subunit ribosomal RNA", at positions 569 to 1092 of the family's 1831-position model. The record is from RNAcentral. Lineage: Eukaryota; Fungi; Glomeromycota; Glomeromycetes; Glomerales; Glomeraceae.
AGCAGCCGCGGUAAUUCCAGCUCCAAUAGCGUAUAUUAAAGUUGUUGCAGUUAAAAAGCUCGUAGUUGAAUUUCGGGAUCAAUAUGUUGGUCGUGCCUUGGUACGUACUAGUUUAUUGGUUUCUUCCUUCUGACGAACCAUGAUGUCAUUAAUUUGGUGUCAUGGGGAAUCAGGACUGUUACUUUGAAAAAAUUAGUGUUUAAAGCAAGCUCACGCUUGAAUACAUUAGCAUGGAAUAAUGAAAUAGGACGUUUGAUUCUAUUUUGUUGGUUUCUAGGAUCGACGUAAUGAUUAAUAGGGAUAGUUGGGGGCAUUAGUAUUCAAUUGUCAGAGGUGAAAUUCUUGGAUUUAUUGAAGACUAACUACUGCGAAAGCAAUUUGCCAAGGAUGUUUUCAUUAAUCAAGAACGAAAGUUAGGGGAUCGAAGACGAUCAGAUACCGUCGUAGUCUUAACCAUAAACUAUGCCGACUAGGGAUCGGAUGAUGUUAAUUUUUUAAUGACUCAUUCGGCGCCUUAUA